This 476-nucleotide ribosomal RNA is filed under the name uncultured bacterium. RNAcentral's name for it is "bacterial SSU rRNA". It matches the Rfam family "Bacterial small subunit ribosomal RNA", at positions 17 to 518 of the family's 1533-position model. The record is from RNAcentral.
UUCUGGCUCAGGAUGAACGCUGGCGGCGUGCCUAACACAUGCAAGUCCGAGCGAUUCUCUUCGGAGAAGAGCGGCGGACGGGUGAGUAACGCGUGGGUAACCUGCCUCAUACACAUGGAUAACAUACCGAAAGGUAUGCUAAUACAGGAUAACAUAAGAGAUUCACAUGGAUUUCUUAUCAAAGCUCCGGCGGUAUGAGAUGGACCCGCGUCUGAUUAGCUAGUUGGUAAGGUAACGGCUUACCAAGGCGACGAUCAGUAGCCGACCUGAGAGGGUGAUCGGCCACAUUGGAACUGAGACACGGUCCAAACUCCUACGGGAGGCAGCAGUGGGGAAUAUUGCACAAUGGGCGAAAGCCUGAUGCCAGCAACGCCGCGUGAGUGAUGAAGGCCUUCGGGUCGUAAAACUCUGUCCUCAAGGAAGAUAAUGACGGUACUUGAGGAGGAAGCCCCGGCUAACUACGUGCCAGCCGCAGC